GCGUUUGUGGUUUAGUGGUAAAAUCCAUCGUUGCCAUAGAGUACGACUCUGAGCGAUCAGAGUACGAUACAUCAGUUUCGAUGGGCCCCGGGUUCGAUUCCCGGCGAACGCA
This is a non-coding RNA of Leptodontidium sp. MPI-SDFR-AT-0119, 112 nucleotides long. NCBI's taxonomy places the organism in Eukaryota, Fungi, Ascomycota, Leotiomycetes, Helotiales, Leptodontidiaceae. The record is from the annotation of a GenBank genome assembly.